GUUGAAAUGUCUGAUUAGGUGAUAAAUUGUAAAUUUAUUUAUGAGUUAUUAACUCUUUCAAUA
Molecule: transfer RNA, 63 nt
Filed under: Aguriahana triangularis
Lineage: Eukaryota; Metazoa; Arthropoda; Insecta; Hemiptera; Cicadellidae
Description: tRNA-Tyr
Source: RNAcentral